RNAcentral lists this ribosomal RNA (505 nucleotides) under uncultured Archaeosporaceae. Its description in RNAcentral is "SSU rRNA". It matches the Rfam family "Eukaryotic small subunit ribosomal RNA", at positions 569 to 1078 of the family's 1831-position model. The record is from RNAcentral. Lineage: Eukaryota; Fungi; Glomeromycota; Glomeromycetes; Archaeosporales; Archaeosporaceae.
AGCAGCCGCGGUAAUUCCAGCUCCAAUAGCGUAUAUUAAAGUUGUUGCAGUUAAAAAGCUCGUAGUUGAAUUUUGGAUUCUUCCAAUUGGUCCAUCUUUUAGAUGAGUACUGGUUGUGUGGGGUCUAUCCGCCUGGUGAUACGUAAUGUCCUUUAUUGGGUGUUACGGGUAGUCAGGACCUUUACCUUGAAAAAUUAGAGUGUUUAAAGCAGGCUUAUGCCGGAAUACAUUAGCAUGGAAUAAUAGAAUAGGACGAAGUUGUUUUAUUUUGUUGGUUUCUAGGACAACCGUAAUGAUUAAUAGGGAUAGUUGGGGGCAUUAGUAUUCAAUUGUCAGAGGUGAAAUUCUUGGAUUUAUUGAAGACUAACUACUGCGAAAGCAUUUGCCAAGGAUGUUUUCAUUAAUCAAGAACGAAAGUUAGGGGAUCGAAGACGAUCAGAUACCGUCGUAGUCUUAACCAUAAACUAUGCCGACUAGGGAUCGGGCGAUGUGUUUCCAUGACUCG